This is a long non-coding RNA of Oreochromis aureus, 2725 nucleotides long. RefSeq lists it as uncharacterized. The transcript has 4 exons. The record is from RefSeq and is a predicted model, not a curated record. Lineage: Eukaryota; Metazoa; Chordata; Actinopteri; Cichliformes; Cichlidae.
AAAAAAGCUCAAAUGAGUGAGAAGGACGAUGAAGGAAACAUCUGUGCUGUGUCUGCUCUUACGACUAUUCACUGACAUCUUAAUCCUGUGUUCUCCUGAGCUUGAACCUGAACAUCAGACCAACCAUUGACUGCAGGAGACAUGAGCCUCAGACCAUCUCACCAUCAUCAUCAUCAUCAUCAUCAUCAGCCCAGAACACUGUUACAGCUGAGUCUGGACAGGACGUAGUUCUACCAUGUCGAGUUCCAUCAGACAAAACCAUCAGAGCUGUGAAGUGGAUCAGAGCUGACCUGGGAGAUGAAUAUGUGCUUUUUUACCGAGAUGAUCAGCUGGAUCCAGAAGAGCAGCAUCCAUCUUUUAAGAACCGGGUGGAUCUGCAGGACAGGAAUCUGAAUAAUGGAGACGUGUCUCUGGUUCUGAAGAAUGUGACGACUGCUGAUGAUGGAUCAUACAGUUGUAAUAUUUUCAACCAAGUGACAAAAUCAUGGGAGAUCAUCAACACUGUCAGCCUGACUGUUUCAGGUCAGACAGCAGAACUCACAGUUGCACCUGUUGGACUCAUCGCUGGUCUGAGUGUUCCUGCUGUGAUUCUUGUUGCUGCUGUUGUUGGUUUUCUGUGUUACAGAAAACAUAAACAACAGAACCGGGAUUUUAACUAGCAUCCUCAUGAACAGCAGGUUUCAAAUGUCUCUACGGUUUAGUAUGUUUAAAUUAACAAAACACUAAACUUACAAAACAACACUGGUUUAAAAACUAAUUGUUUAAUUUAAUCCUGGAUCACACUACAUGACAUCACUACAGAGUUCAGACAAAUGAUGCAUCAUUUACCCGAAUCGCUAUAAUUCAGAGAAAUCCUGGAAAAAAAUAUUAGGACAUAAUAAGUGACAAGUUUCACCUGCUCUAUGUGUAACUCAAUGACCUCUAACACCUGAAAUCCUUUAUUGUAUGAAGGUAAAAUAGCUUCAAUGUUCAUCAUCUAUCCAGAUCUGUCACAGUGACAUGGAACCGCCCACCGUAUUAUAAAUCCUUUCCAUUUAAUGUAUUUAAAAGGUGGAGGUGUUGCUCUUCCAUCGCUGUCACUGGCAGAUCUGAAUGAAUACUGACCUUAAAAGUGAAGGUGAACCCUGUUUGAAUGACAGCAUGUUGUUUACCAGUUCAUUAAUAUUAGUGAAUGACUCUGGGUCAGGGAUGUCAAACUGGUUUUACAUCGUUGGCCACAUUAAACUCCCCUCAAUGUAAAGUAGUUUAAGUGCACGUUCAAUCUGACAUAUCUCAGUGUAAGAAAGAGAAGUGCAACUUUACCAGCACCUCUGAGUUUUCUCUAAUAAAUUUCUGUACUUGAUGGUGAAAAAACAGGAACUUUCUGUAACUUAACAGCCUGUUUAUUGUUUAUUUACUUUGGUGUCGUAUGAAUCACCUUUGAUGAGGUCGUCAGCUGUAAAGCAGCAAAGCUGCAUUUUCCAAAGCCACCCAGUGGGCCUCUGAUGGGCAGAUUAGGGCCCCCGUGCCUUAUGUUUGACACCCCUACUCUAAGUCUUGUGGUCUGACCCAGAGAGGUAAACUCUGACGUUGACUUAAAAACAAAACUGAGAAAAAGAUAUAAUAGGACAGGAUGGUUGAAAUUUUCAUCUGUCGUGUUUGGAACAUGUUUGUUCCCCAAUAGCAGCUAAGUUUAUUAUUUAUUCAUUAUCAUAGAAACAUUAUAGCAGGUUAUGAUAUGGAUGUGUUACUCAGAGAAUUGAAUUUGUAACCUUUGACCUUUGUGAAGCUUUUCAGCUUAAAAUGUCAGAACGACCAGACACUAAAGACAAACCCACUGCAUAAAGGAAACUUUACUACACUAUGUAAGGAGCAGAAGACACUAAAAUACUGAAUUAAAACUAAAACAUUUUCAUUUUCACUCCAAGGAGGAGUGAUGUCAGUGUAGCUUAGAGGAAGUCUGAAAUAGUCGACAGCCAGGAUCACAAACACUACACAGUUUCUGAUUCCAUCCUUUCUCAUGUAAAUAACUAGUUAAUGUAACUCUUCUUUCUAGAUAACAAUUUGAUGUCAAACGUGACUCGUGUGAGCAAAGUAAAGGCUUUUCAAACUAUUUUCUAUCCAUCCGUCCAUCUAGUGGCUCUAAGCACUCACUGCAGCUGUUCGUAACUUCAAACAUUAAAAAAUGCAUUUAAUACACAUCACUACACUAACAGACUAACUAACCGCUUGAAGAGAUGAGUGGUGAUCAUAUUAAACCAGGUCAAAUAUCCACGUUCAUGUUUAAAUACUGCAGAACUCUGUAAAAACAGCAGUAACAUCAGUGAUGAUGGUGAAACGACAGGGAGUAAACAAACCACAAAAUGGGACUAAAUGGGACCAGUGAGGAAGUGUCAGUACAAUAAAAAGAUGCAGAAAAGAAACGAUGGAGUAAAAAAACUAUUUUAAAAGGAAAACACAAGAAGUCUGAUGUGUUUUGUUCUUUCAGGUCAGGAGAUCAUACACGCGGAUAGAUUUUUUUUUAAUCUAAAGAUAUUUACUUUGCACACAGGAACAUGUGAGAUAUGAAAAAUGUUCAAAGUAAAUAGUUUUGACUCAUAUUUGUUGAUUGAUUUAUGACUGACUGCUGCAGUCUGGAGCAUGAAUGUGAUUUUUGUUUAUAUGUAUGAUAUACUGGAAUGUUCACUUGUUAAUGCUUUUCUGCAAUGUGCUGCACUACAGAAAUAAAAGUAAUAUUUGAAAAUCA